RNAcentral lists this transfer RNA (77 nucleotides) under Armatimonadota bacterium. Its description in RNAcentral is "tRNA-Pro". It matches the Rfam family "tRNA". From Rfam's summary of the family: Transfer RNA (tRNA) molecules are approximately 80 nucleotides in length. The record is from RNAcentral. Lineage: Bacteria; Bacillati; Armatimonadota.
CGGGGUGUGGCUCAGUUUGGUAGAGCGCUGCCUUCGGGAGGCAGAGGUCGUCGGUUCAAAUCCGGCCACCCCGACCA